Molecule: long non-coding RNA, 827 nt
Filed under: Anser brachyrhynchus (Pink-footed goose)
Lineage: Eukaryota; Metazoa; Chordata; Aves; Anseriformes; Anatidae
Description: lncRNA (ENSABRG00000023159.1)
Source: RNAcentral
CUAGACUCAAAUUCAACACAGUGAUCUCCUUUGUUCCACAGAUUUUACCAGUAAAGUUAGCGAUAGCAGAGGAAUAACAUCCCUCUUCUCUGCAGAGAGAAUCCAUGGCUGGAAGGUUUAUCAAUAUACAGUCUGCACGGGUUUAAUACAUGACAAGGAGACAAGCAAUCUGUGGAGAAUGGCAGUGGAUGUGAUGCAGAUCAGCAAGAAAGAGAAAUUAAGGAUGAAAAGACAGCAGUUUCUGAAGAAUCAGAUUGUGCACUUCAAAAUAAUAUCAUAAAGACUCAUCAUUUUAAUCAGUUAUUGGUUAUACCUUGAGGACUUUCCACAGACUUCCACUUGAUACUGCUUUUAAAAUGACAUCUGCUCUAAGAGAAGGGAGAUCAAGAAGCCAGAAAUUAUUACCCUUCACAGGCAGAGUCACCCAGGAAUCCGAUCUGUAUGAUUGCAGAUACUUGCAAACACUGAUCCACCAGGACACAGCGCUGAGCUGCAAUUCACAUAGUUUUAGCACCACCACCACAACCCAGCAGUAAGAAAAUCUGUCCCAUUAGAACAGUGUACAAUCUGACAAUCUGCUACGCUGCUUUACAAAAUCAUCACAGGAGGAAAUAUCUUUACGUUUGCCUUAAUCUACCAUCUGUUCACACAAAAAGUCAAAAUGUAUGAAUUUACAUACGUUUUGCUGCCCAAUUGCAGCCAUUAACAUUAUUCCUUUCCCCCACCCUUCACCUUAAGAGAGACUAUUCUCUGUCACUUAAGUAAUGGCAUAUACAUUUUCUGUGGAAAAAAAAAAUAAAUAAACCAAAGCAACUGCGUAGGUAUCA